Molecule: ribosomal RNA, 117 nt
Filed under: Labrus bergylta (ballan wrasse)
Lineage: Eukaryota; Metazoa; Chordata; Actinopteri; Labriformes; Labridae
Source: RNAcentral
GCUUACGGCCAUACCACCCUGAACACGCCGAUCUCGUCAGAUUCGGAAGCUAAGCAGGGUCGGGCCUGGUUAGUACUUGGAUGGGAGACCGCCUGGGAAUACCAGGUGCUGUAAGCU